Molecule: transfer RNA, 74 nt
Filed under: subsurface metagenome
Description: tRNA-Ala
Rfam family: tRNA
About the family: Transfer RNA (tRNA) molecules are approximately 80 nucleotides in length. Their secondary structure includes four short double-helical elements and three loops (D, anti-codon, and T loops).
Source: RNAcentral
UGGGGUCAUGGAUUAGUGGAAGAUCGUUCGCUUGGCAUGCGAAAGGCCGCGGGUUCAAUUCCCGCUGACUCCAU